UGGGGAAUAUUGCACAAUGGGGGAAACCCUGAUGCAGCGACGCCGCGUGAGCGAAGAAGGUUUUCGAAUCGUAAAGCUCUGUCCUAUGGGAAGAUAAUGACGGUACCAUAGGAGGAAGCCCCGGCUAACUACGUGCCAGCAGCCGCGGUAAUACGUAGGGGGCAAGCGUUGUCCGGAAUCACUGGGCGUAAAGGGUUCGCAGGCGGAAAUGCAAGUCAGUUGUGAAAGGCAGAGGCUCAACCUCUGUAAGCAAUUGAAACUGUAUUUCUUGAGAUGUGGAGAGGCAAGUGGAAUUCCUAGUGUAGCGGAGAAAUGCGUAGAUAUUAGGAAGAAUACCGGUGGCGAAGGCGACUUGCUGGACACAAACUGACGCUGAGGAACGAAAGCGUGGGUAGCAAACAGG
This 403-nucleotide ribosomal RNA is filed under the name Fusobacteriota bacterium. Its description in RNAcentral is "Fusobacteria bacterium partial 16S ribosomal RNA". It matches the Rfam family "Bacterial small subunit ribosomal RNA", at positions 355 to 776 of the family's 1533-position model. Lineage: Bacteria; Fusobacteriati; Fusobacteriota. The record is from RNAcentral.